Hydra vulgaris (swiftwater hydra) is the source of this 394-nucleotide non-coding RNA. Lineage: Eukaryota; Metazoa; Cnidaria; Hydrozoa; Anthoathecata; Hydridae. The record is from RefSeq and is a predicted model, not a curated record.
UAUUAUAGUUUCUACUAUACUUUUCCAGUUGAAAAAGUAUAUUAGGGCAAGCAAAAUGUUCAUUUGAGCUGUUUGGAUAAAAAAUACAGAGAAAUAAAGAGAAAAAAUUUGAUUGAUAAUUUUUUGUGCUGGCCAUCAUGGUUAAAUGUAAUAAAUUGUUUGAAUGAAAUGCAUAAACCACAGUUUAACUAAUGCAGAUUUAAGCUGCUCAAAAUUAAAUGUCAUGGAGAUAAUAUCAUGAGUUAUGUGAUAAAUUUGAAUUUGCUACAACUAGUGAUAUUCAGAUAGAAUCAGAUUCAGAAAACGGUAACUAUUUUAAACAAUACUUAAUUCAAAUAUUAUUAGUUUUAUUUUGAUAUUAAAUUUUAUAGGAGCCACUACCAUGCUUAUGCAA